ACGGAAGGCAGCAGUGGGGAAUAUUGCACAAUGGGCGAAAGCCUGAUGCAGCGACGCCGCGUGAGUGAAGAAGUAUCUCGGUAUGUAAAGCUCUAUCAGCAGGGAAGAAAAUGACGGUACCUGACUAAGAAGCCCCGGCUAACUACGUGCCAGCAGCCGCGGUAAUACGUAGGGGGCAAGCGUUAUCCGGAUUUACUGGGUGUAAAGGGAGCGUAGACGGUUUGGCAAGUCUGAAGUGAAAUGCGGGGGCUCAACUCCUGAACUGCUUUGGAAACUGUCGAACUAGAGUGCAGGAGAGGUAAGUGGAAUUCCUAGUGUAGCGGUGAAAUGCGUAGAUACAGGAGGAACACCAGUGGCGAAGGCGGCUUACUGGACUGUAACUGACGUUGAGGCUCGAAAGCGUGGGGAGCAAACAGGAUUAGAUACCCUGGUA
Molecule: ribosomal RNA, 433 nt
Filed under: uncultured Lachnospiraceae bacterium
Lineage: Bacteria; Bacillati; Bacillota; Clostridia; Lachnospirales; Lachnospiraceae
Description: partial 16S ribosomal RNA
Rfam family: Bacterial small subunit ribosomal RNA
Source: RNAcentral